RNAcentral lists this unclassified non-coding RNA (308 nucleotides) under Hevea brasiliensis (rubber tree). Lineage: Eukaryota; Viridiplantae; Streptophyta; Magnoliopsida; Malpighiales; Euphorbiaceae. The record is from RNAcentral.
CGAUUAAAGAAAGCUUGGGAAGGGGGGAAUGAAUCUAGGAUGAUGGAAGAAGAGUGUGGCGUAGAGACUUUAAUUUGGCCAUCAAGAUUAGAUGCAACAAGGGCAGAAUGGAUGAACUUUAAGGCAAAGACUAAAACUGGGGCAGCAUUUGGGAGGGUAGUUAGAACUUCAGAUCCAACCGCUAUGGCUGUGAUGUUGGUGGCAGGAACAUGGGCUAUUACAUUGCGAGCAACCCAGUUGGCUGCAGUAGCAUUUGAUUGACCAAUCCCAAGGAGCUGCUCAUUAGGAACAGAAACUGUUACACGGAU